This 1128-nucleotide ribosomal RNA is filed under the name bacterium. Its description in RNAcentral is "partial 23S ribosomal RNA". It matches the Rfam family "Bacterial large subunit ribosomal RNA", at positions 1 to 1040 of the family's 2925-position model. The record is from RNAcentral.
UGCGAGAGACAUAAGAGUACACGGUGGAUGCCUUGGCCUAGGAUGGCUAUGAAGGACGCGACUAACCUGCGAAAAGCUUCGGGGAGGCGGUUUGUAGCCUUUGAUCCGGAGAUAUCCGAAUGGGGAAACCCUGCAGUUUUGAACUGUAAUCCGCGAGGUAACGCUUGCGCGAGGCGAACCCUGGGAAGUGAAACAUCUCAGUACCAGGAGGAAAAGAGAACAAUAUGAGUUGCGUUCAACUGGCGCGUAUGUUCGUGCCAGGUGAACGCGACUCUCGUGAUACCCCGAGUAGCGGCGAGCGAAAAGGGGAAAGCCCAAACCCCGUUCUUCGGAAUGGGGGGUUGUAAGAUGCGAACGUCCAGCCCCAGUUUUGCAAAAAACUGGGGCUGGGGAAGAGUUAUCAAUCGUCUAUAUAGCGGAAGUUGCUGGGAAGCAACGCCCCAGAGGGUAAUGGCCCCGUACGCGAAAUGUAUGACGACUCUUGUUUGUAUUCUUGAGUAGCUCCAGACACGAAUAGCUGGAGUGAAUCUGCCGGAACUAACCGGUAAGGCUAAAUACAUCCUAUGACCGAUAGUGAACUAGUACCGUGAGGGAAAGGUGAAAAGAACCCCGAGAGGGGAGUGAAAUAGACCUGAAACCGUGUACUUACAAGGGGUCGGAGCGGAUGACGCAAGUCAUUCCGUGACGGCAUGCCUAUUGAAGAAUGAGCCGGCGAGUGUGUGUAUCUUGCAUAGCUAAGCCCUUCCGGGGCGGAGCUUAAGGGAAACCGAGCGUGAAUAGCGCAUCAGUAGGAUACAUACGACCCGAAGCCAGAUGAGCUUGCCAUGAGCAGGGUGAAGUAUUACGAAAGUAGUAUGGAGGCCCGAACCCGUAGAUCGUUCAACGUCUUGGGAUGACUUGUGGUAAGGAGUGAAAAGCUAAUCGAAUCUGGGAAUAGCUGGUUCUCUCCGAAACAGCUUUUGGGCUGGCGUCGCCAUAUGUGCACCGGGGGGUAGAGCACUGGAAGGGACCAACAGGGAGAAAUCUCGUGGUUCCUAUCAAACUCCGAAUACCAUACGUUCAGGCGGCAGUUAGAAGGUGGGGGCGAAGCUCCAUCGAUCGAGAGGGGAAGAGCCCUGAUCGCCAAUU